UGAAUUCUUCAAUCUUGAAUUGUUCAAUGAUGAUAGCUAUCUUGCAUCGUACUAUAAAAUCAUGGAUCGGCAACUAGGUGAUUGUCAAUCUGUUCUUGCUAGAUGUGUUGUUGUUUUUCUUCUUCUAAGAUAAGAUGGUAGCAUCACAUGUCAUCCUAUCAUGUUGUACUAGUUCCUGAAGUGUAAGAUAAGAUGGUGGCAUCAGAUGUGUGUUUUGACUUGUGACUGCUUACUACAUGGAUACAUGCAACUAGCUAGCAACCUAGCAGUACUAGUAAGAAUAUAUGUGACUAAUUCCCUCCCUUUACCUUGUGAUUGAUUCCAGGUAUAUACAGAUGCCAUCUUUGUCUGGCAACAUAUGCACCUGAUUACAUUCAGGUGCAUAUAGUAUACUUGAACAGUGUAAACAUAUGCAUCUGCAAAAUUAUCUCAUUCAUAGUGUGGUGCCUAUGUAUACCAGUUAUCAAUUGGCUUGAUUUAGGCUAUUGAUAGUCAGUGUCUCAGUGACAGAAAUAACUCAAAAGCUAUACCUUUAGCUGUGCUGGCAAUCGAAUGUAUAUAAUCGUAACCGUGAAACUAGUUAUUACCGUAGCUAGCAGAUCUCUUUAGUAAGCAGUAACUGGUAGUUCUCAUAAUCCAUCCCAUAGAUUACUUCCCCAACGUGUGUUCCAAGGGCUUUACCUGUUAGAAUUGAUGCUUGUUUCUACUAAGUGUUGCACUUGUUUCUACUAAGUUUUAUCUGUGAAUCUGUUGUUUCACAUAUACUAUAUACAACUGAUGCCUUGAAGAAGUCAGCUCCCCUUGGAUGGUGCAGUGUAGCAAAUAAAUGUUGAUUCAUUCAUUCUUUGAUGUUGGCUUUCAUUCUUCCAAAGUUGGGUGUACAUGAGCUCUAGGAACAAUCCCGAAGAUAAACCACACCCAACAAUGUGUUUUAGCUCACUAGAGAUAGUUAUGCUUGCAGCUAGUUAUGUGUAUAUUUAGUUAUAUUUUAUAGCUGAAUACCAGAAUUGUACUAUGCUUGGCUGUUGUAUGAAAUAUUAUGCCUUAUUGGCUCUUUUUGAAUCAAAUUAUCUAAUUGCACAAAUA
Long non-coding RNA from Triticum urartu, 1086 nucleotides. RefSeq lists it as uncharacterized. Lineage: Eukaryota; Viridiplantae; Streptophyta; Magnoliopsida; Poales; Poaceae. The record is from RefSeq and is a predicted model, not a curated record.